RNAcentral lists this ribosomal RNA (494 nucleotides) under uncultured bacterium. Its description in RNAcentral is "partial 16S ribosomal RNA". It matches the Rfam family "Bacterial small subunit ribosomal RNA", at positions 28 to 507 of the family's 1533-position model. The record is from RNAcentral.
GACGAACGCUGACGGCGUGCUUAACACAUGCAAGUCGAACGGUGAAGCGCCUUCCUUUUUGGUGGGUGUGGAUGAGUGGCGAACGGGUGAGUAACACGUGAGUAACCUGCCCCCUUCUUCUGGAUAACCGCAUGAAAGUGUGGCUAAUACGGGAUAUUCUGGGUCUGUCGCAUGAUGGGUCUGGGAAAGAUAUUGUUUCGGUGGGGGAUGGGCUCGCGGCCUAUCAGCUUGUUGGUGGGGUGAUGGCCUACCAAGGCGGUGACGGGUAGCCGGCCUGAGAGGGUGGACGGUCACACGGGGACUGAGACACGGCCCAGACUCCUACGGGAGGCAGCAGAGGGGAAUAUUGCACAAUGGGCGCAAGCCUGAUGCAGCGACGCCGCGUGAGGGAUGGAGGCCUUCGGGUUGUGAACCUCUUUCGCCAGUGAAGCAGGCCUGCCUCGUUUGUGGGUGGGUUGACGGUAGCUGGAUAAGAAGCGCCGGCUAACUACGUG